UACGUAGGGUGCAAGCGUUGUCCGGAAUUAUUGGGCGUAAAGAGCUCGUAGGCGGUUUGUCGCGUCUGCUGUGAAAACCCGCGGCUCAACCGUGUGGCGGGCAGUUGAUACGGGCAGGCUAGAGUUCGGUAGGGGAGACUGGAAUUCCUGGUGUAGCGGUGAAAUGCGCAGAUAUCAGGAAGAACACCCGUGGCGAAGGCGGUUCUCUGGGACGGUACUGACGCUGAGACGCGAAAGCGUGGGGAGCGAACAGG
RNAcentral lists this ribosomal RNA (254 nucleotides) under uncultured bacterium. RNAcentral describes it as "partial 16S ribosomal RNA". It matches the Rfam family "Bacterial small subunit ribosomal RNA", at positions 524 to 776 of the family's 1533-position model. The record is from RNAcentral.